This is a small nucleolar RNA of Nycticebus coucang (slow loris), 135 nucleotides long. NCBI's taxonomy places the organism in Eukaryota, Metazoa, Chordata, Mammalia, Primates, Lorisidae. The record is from RefSeq and is a predicted model, not a curated record.
AUGACCCAUCACCAUGAUUGAAUCAAAAUUUUAAAAUUUUGUUUUAUUGGAGCCUAAAGAAUUAUCUUUCUAUGGUCUGUUGGCCAUUUCAGAACUUUGGAAAUGUAAUGGUCAAUUCAUUAGAAAGAAACAGUA